This is a non-coding RNA of Pelobates cultripes (western spadefoot toad), 941 nucleotides long. The record is from the annotation of a GenBank genome assembly. NCBI's taxonomy places the organism in Eukaryota, Metazoa, Chordata, Amphibia, Anura, Pelobatidae.
CCACUCAGCAGCCCCACUGGACCCCAGGUACCGCAUGUUCAGCCCACCAGCCCCACUGGACCACAGGGUGGAGUAAAAUAAAAAAAAUAAAAAAAAUUGUAUGUGUAUCUGUUAGGGAGCUUGUAUGUGUUUGUGUAUCUGUCAAAGAGUAUAUGUGUGUUUGCCAGAGACAAUGUAUGUAUGCUUGUCAGUGAGAAUGUAUUUGUGCUUGGCAGUGAGUGUAUGUGUUUGUAUGUGUCUGUAAAAGAGUGUGUGUAUCUGUCAAAGAGUAUGUGUGUCGGUGUGUGUGUAUAUCUGUGUGUCCAUGUUUGUGUAUGUGUCACCGUGUGUAUCCGAGUAUGUGUGUAGGUCAGUAUGUUUGUGUGUAUGUGCCAGUGUAUAUAAGUGUGUUUGUAUGUGCCUAUAUGUGUGUGUGUGUAUGUCAGUGUGUGUGUGUAUCUGAGUUAGUCAGUGUGUGCAUAUGACACUGUGUGUAUGUGUCAAUGUGUGUAUCUGUGGGUGCAAGUGUGUGUAAGUGUCACUGUGUGUAUCUGAGUGUGUGUGUAUUUGUGAGUCAAGAUCUGUGUGUCUGUGUGUUUGAGUGUGUGUAUCUGUGUGUCAAGGUUAAUGUGUCUGUGUGCCACUGUGUGUAUCUGUGUGUCAGAUACAUAUACACAGAAUGACAUAGAUACACACACUUUGAUACAUAGAUACACACACCUUGACACACAAAUACAUACACGCACACACACACAGAUAGACACUGUGUGUGUGUAUUUGUGUGCCACUAUGUGCGUUUGUGCGUAUCUGUGUGUCAGAUUCAUACACACUGGCACAUACAAACACAGAUACACACAUUGACAUACAGAUACACCGGCCUUAGGGGUGUGCGACCUGUGCGGCCACACAUGGCACCAUAGACCAGGGGGCACCCUGCGGCCGACACAGCUCACACAUGGCCG